CUCAAACAUGAUAGAGGAGAUGCCCUUCACCCUCAACCACCUAAUCAGGAUGUAUAGUCCCCGUCUUCUCUAUGGGGGCCUAAUCAAACUCCGUUGUCGAGCCCCGAGGUUCCUUUUUACCUGCAUCGAGGAGCCCGAGAACGAGGGAUAGUAAGCCGAUUCGUCCGAGUGAGGACUUCUGACCUGAUUCCGGUGGAAAAGAUGUUGUUCCCCGAAAGGUGGAAUGCUGGACGUAAGUAAACGUGUUGUCGGGUCUUCCUUCGUUUUUCUUUGACGAUAUUUCUUCAAGCAUCUAACUCUAUUUCUCUUGCUUUUUUAGCCGUAGCAACCUACCCCGGUGCAGUUUCGGACCUCCAAGAUUGGAUCGACCGCUUAUACUUGAUUUGCCCAUAUGUUGAACGAGUGUGGCGAAAUUUAUCCUGAGCCCGGUGGGAAGCCAAAGAUCAUGGUCUGGGGAAGUCCCUUUAACGAAGGAGGCACCACCUAUUGAUGGGGACGCCCUAGUGCCUGGCGAGAAGAAGAGAAGGUAGGGGGGUUUGCUGGUCGGGCCGCCGGAGUUCAAGAGGGUUAAGGUGGAAUGAUCCAAUGUUGACCCGGCAGCUCUGACCUUGGAGACGGCGGGAAACCCUCGAGUUGAAGGCGAGGGGGAAAAUAGCUUCCCAACGGUCUCCGAGGAGUGUAUAGACUCGGCUGAUCCUCGGGCCGUAGGGAUGGAGGCUUCUGAACCGGAGCCUGAUGCUGAUGUGGCCCAUCUUUGUGGUGGGGAGGCAACGGAUAGAGUAUCGAGUACUACCCCUGAGUUGGCUGGCGGCCAUAAUUCUUCCUGAGUUGAGUUGCCCUUGGUAGGCAGUUCGAAGGGGCCCAGCUCCGGGGUCCAGGGUGAACAAAGGAUGGAGGCUUUGGCUGAUCCUGUCAACUCUAUGAUCAUUAUUGAUUCCCCUCAGGGAGUGAUCCUACUGCCUCAUGGAGUGCAAGAUGCCCCACGUGAAGAGCCCUCUAAUGCAAGGGCACUAGUCAAAGGCGGAGAUACGCCCGAGAGAUCGCCGACCGUUCUUGAGGGAAGUCCCGAGGUUGAUGCUUCAUUCGUUUUUGGCAAGAUGGGCAGACUUUGAAAGCGGGCUAAAGCACUUUACAGCCAGGCUUUCACCCAGUACCAGGAUGAGGUGAACCGUCGCGAGUGUGAGAAAGCCCAUCUUACCGAGCAGUUUGAGAAGGAAAACACUUUGCUGAGAGAGGAACUUUGGGCCAGAGAUGCUGAAAUUUCCGAGCUCAGUCAGUAUAUAAGGGAAAUAACUUACGAGAGGGACACCCUCCAGGGGAAGGUAACCUCAGUCGAGCGUCAGCUCCAGGAUGCGAAGGAGGAUAGUGACAAGUACAUAGGUCUCCAUUCCGAGCUGGUGGCUGCACUCUAUCAGAUCAAAGCCUAAGUCAAGGCGUUUGUGUCCUCGCACAGGGAGGAAGUUAUUAACGCAAAUGCUCGCAUUGAGAGGGCGUCUGAGGGGGCUAGCCCAAAUUUACCUCGAGCUGCGGAUUGUGCCUGGCUAGAUUCUCGAAAGUAGACCGUUGGAGGUAUGUCGGAUGACAGUUUGUGUGGUGCAAAAAAUGAGGGUGGAUCCCCGGAGAGGGAAAAUGUCAUUAAAAAGGGGUCGUCGGGGGACUCGUAGCUGUCAAGGUGCAACCCUUGGGGAGCCAUUGAGAAUGUAGGCUCGACAAUGGAUUAGGAUCCUGUUGAUUUUCCUGUUUGAAUAUAAUACUUUCAUAUUGGCAUAUGUAUAAAGUAAACCAUGUGGCUUAGCUUCUUCCACUCCCCUUUUUGUUCGGAAUUUGGCCAGGUGAUCCCAUUUUUAGAGUUGGCAAGAAUCUUUAGAUUCAUGAUACGGCCCUGGGGCUCAUUAGGCAAGCUUGGGUGCUUUUACGCGCCUGAUCGAUGCGACAUUUAGUAUAAGCUGGCGUUAGAGCUCUUAUGCUUUGCUCAACUAUUUUGGGUUUAGUCUCUGAGUCGGGCUUCGACUCGAGCUCAUUCGACCCUCAAGCUUCUGUGUUUUCAUGGGCGGGCAAUAAUGGUUCUUGCACUUUGCGUUCGGGCAUAUGUAUUUUAACUAUUUUGGGUUCGGUCUCCGAGUUGGGUUUCGACUCGAGCUCAAUCGACCCUCAAGUUUUGUAUUUGUGCGGGCUGGCGACAAUGUCUCUUAUGCCUUGGGUUGAAGCGACCUUCUAUAUGUGUGACCCUAAGGCUCAUUAAGCUGACAAUAAUGGCUCUUACGCUUUGC
Nicotiana tabacum (common tobacco) is the source of this 2270-nucleotide long non-coding RNA. RefSeq lists it as uncharacterized. Lineage: Eukaryota; Viridiplantae; Streptophyta; Magnoliopsida; Solanales; Solanaceae. The record is from RefSeq and is a predicted model, not a curated record.